This is a long non-coding RNA of Gavialis gangeticus (Gharial), 1384 nucleotides long. RefSeq lists it as uncharacterized. The transcript has 3 exons. The record is from RefSeq and is a predicted model, not a curated record. NCBI's taxonomy places the organism in Eukaryota, Metazoa, Chordata, Crocodylia, Gavialidae.
AAGGCUCUUCCGCUCCUUCUUGCAGGCAUGCUCAGCACCUGGAUUGCUAAUACAAUAGAAAUGAAUAUUUAAUACCUGCGUAGUGGGGAGGAGGGCAUGGGCGUAACGCUUCCGAUCUGAAUUCACGCAGCCGCCUUUCGGAACUGGAAUCGUUAGACGAAGCCUCUACAAGAGCCGGUAUUUUCUUCAGCGACGGUUUCCCCUCUGCCUUUCGCGACUAGAGUUGCAACAUAUCCCACCUUUGCCUACAUGACUGCAUGCUAGCACUAAAACCAGGACCUUGCCCUAGGGAUGUCCAAAGAUGCUCAGGGCUGCUCCCAUGCAUGCUCUGUGCGGCAGUCGCUGCCUGGUAGCUUUCCUGGCCGCUUGUUCCUGGGAAGUGGGGGGUGUGCAGGGGAGCUCGCCAGGCUCAGGGCGCUUGGACUUGGGGUGAGAGCCGGGCGCUGGAGGGCCCGAUCCCGCAGCCCGGGGCUCAGUCCCCCCAACCCCCAGUGCCCUCUGGACUGUCGCAUCAGCCUUGUGCCUCCCCCCGCCUCCUCCAGCAUCUUCUAACCUGUCUGCCCCGCUCUGCCCCCGCCCGCGCCUCCGAGCCCUGGGAUAUUCGGUUUCUUUUCCUUUCUCAAUGUGUGUUCCUGAUGUGGUCCUGUCGGAAAAGCUCGUUUACUCUGCCCGGGUCUCCAGUGGUUUAAGGAUAAUGUUUAUCAGAAGUGAACGUGCUCAACUUGUUUCCAUUUAACUGCUGAGUGCGGGCUGAAAUAACAAAGGUCACAUCCACAGUGAGUCGGCAGAGGGCAGGGGGAGCCGCGAGGGGGAGGAAAACAUUAUCAUAUACAACGGCCUGUUGAUCGCGGGGACCUGCCUGGCAAAAAGAUUAAUUUCAGCUCUCAGGUGGCAGCACUAGCUGGGGGUUGCGGCUCACUGAGACACCCCCGCGCGCGUGCACCCCACCCCGCGUGGGCGGUAGAAACCGCCCGUGGAUCUACGCACGCUGCGAUUUCCACGCGGACUUUCCGGGCCCGACCCUGGCGCCUUUUCCGCUGCAUUGCAAAGCGGCCGAAAGAAACGACAAAGCCUCCCGCUUGUUCCCAAUGUGCUGCUUUUCGUUGAUCUUUAAAGGAACCCAAAUCACCUCCCCCGCCCCGCCAGUACAGACAGUGAUUGGAUUGAGCACGAGCUCAAAUAAGGCAUAACGGGCGAGAUCUUUUAUUGAAAACGCUUUCGUGCGGAGCACGCCUAACGCCGACUCUCGGCGAGAGGCAGUUUCCUGGAUGUGCUUCAGCGGCUGGAAAAGCCUGGCAUGGGUGUCACUCCGGGCCCCCCGCGGCGCAGAGACACGCGAUGCAGGCCCGCGCCGCGCGGGGAGGCGAUGCACUGCAGCUCCCGC